RNAcentral lists this long non-coding RNA (2460 nucleotides) under Eucalyptus grandis. RNAcentral's name for it is "long non-coding RNA (EGRA_LNC005229)". The record is from RNAcentral. Lineage: Eukaryota; Viridiplantae; Streptophyta; Magnoliopsida; Myrtales; Myrtaceae.
GAGAGAGAGGAGGUGGAGCCGAGAGUUGCCGCCGCCCGUCCGCCGUACAUCCGCCUAGUCCGACCGCCGUACGCCGUCGUCCAUCGCUGUUUGUUCAUCUUGGAGGCAAGUGGAGUCCUUAACUUCUCUUGCAUGUCUGUUUUUUUGGUUGCAUGUUCGGUUUUAGGUGUAAUUUGGGCGAAAAACCGAGGUAAGGGUUGGAUGUGUUCAAGCUAUGUGACUGUUUUCGUUUGGUUUGUGGUAGUCAGUAUCUUAGUCGAGCUUGCAUGUGUACUUGGAGUGCGAUUUUGGCUUCGGUGUCUUCAUGAAAGUUGAAGCUAACAUCUUGUAGUAUGACAUAAUCGAAUUUCAUGGAAAACGAUGGUGAUAUGUGGGGUCAAAAGCUUUGUUAUACGGAGACCUCAGCUCUGCGAAAUCUUCACUGACCUUUUGUUGAUUUCUUGGUUGCAUGUUGAUUUCUGUUGGAGAUCUCGCCUUGUUGUCUUCUUGAAAGUUGUAGGAAACAACUUAAGCUACAACAUAAUCAAAUUUGAAGCAAAAAUAACAAGUAUAACUUGGUGAAUCUGUUAGAUCUUGGAGAUGGUUGAUUCUGGUGAGGUGUACCGAGACACCCGAGACUUCAUGGGUUAAACUGGUGAUCAUAAUCUGGUUAUUUGACCUAGAUCCCUUCAUGAAAAUUGUAAAGGACAUAUUUUUACAUAACAUACUUAAAUUUCAGAAGAAACGAAAGAGAUUUGAUGGGUGAAAUCUAAGAAAUACGGAGGAGUGUGUUCUGGACGUCGCGGUAGAGAUUCCAGAAGCUUCGUAGGGCUAUAGAAAUUAAUAUAAAAAGAAUUUGGCUUAAAGUUCUUAAUGAAAAAGGUACGAAAAUGUGUUGGAUAUCACCCUGUAAUGUUUCGUAAUUUUUGAAGACCGAAUGGGUAUUUUAAUUUAAUUUAUUCGGAAACUGUGCAGUGGGUUUAAAUCCGAGAAUUUUAGGAUGUUUUUGGAGGAAAUUGUGAAAUUGUGAAAAAUACGACUUGGCCACGAAUUUUAUAUAAAAUUGUAAUCCUAUAAAUGAUUAUUGAAUAUUAUGAUUUUGGGAAAAUCAUAAAUAUUAACUAUUUAUUUAUGAAAAUAAAUAAAUAUAAUAAAAUAAUAAAAUAAUAAUAAAAUAAUGAAAUAAUAAAAUAAAAUAGAUUUUUAUUUGGCCAUGGAUUCAAUUCCAUUUGUGUGGCACUUGUGUGAUGAGGUCUUUGUACAUGCAUUAAGUUGAAAUACUUAUGUGAUUAAGCUAUGACAUGUGCAUGACAUGUGAAUUGAAAUGCAAGUGUGAUAUGUUUGAUGCCAUGCCAAAUUUCCAUGUUAAAUUGAGAUAAAAGAUAAAUGUGGAUGAGAAUGAGGUUGUGGUGGAGGAUGUUGUCUGGUGGCCUGGUGGCGUAAUUCCAGAGAUUCCCUGGGAGUUUCAGGAUGCCCGGAAUGUGGGGGGCUGGAAGCCCUGUCGGAGGUUUCUGCCCAAAGGGAGUGACUCGCGAUGCCAGGAUUGGGGUGCGAGAUCCCCGGCUAGAAGGGUAAAGGCCGGAAGCCCUGUCGGAGGUUUCUGCCCGAAGGGAAUGCCUCGUGAUGCUAGUUGAGAUGCGAGAUGCCCGGAAUGUGGGGGGCCGGAAGCCCAGUGGCCAUGAGAUGGCUGGAAUGCUGGGAUCCCUGUCGGAGGUUUCUGCCCGAAGGGAUGGUGAUGAUGGUGAAUUUGAUGAUUUGAGAAAAGAUAAUGUGGGGAUCAAUUGAUAAGUAAAAGUGGAAAUUGAUCUAUGAUGUGAUAUGCAUGGUGAUGCAUGGCUAAUGAUGAUAUGAUAUGCAUGGUGAUGCAUGGCUAAUGAUGAUAUGAUAUGCAUGGUGAUGCAUGGCUAAUGAUGAUAUGAUGUGAUAUGCAUGGUGAUGCAUGGCUAAUGAUGAUAUGAUGUGAUAUGCAUGGUGAUGCAUGGCUAAUGAUGAUAUGAUGUGAUAUGCAUGGUGAUGCAUGGCUAAUGAUGAUAUGAUAUGCAUGGUGAUGCAUGGCUAAUGAUGAUGUGAUAUGCACGGUGAUGCAUGGCUAAUGAUGAUGUGAUAUGCAUGGUGAUGCAUGGUUAAUGAUGAUGUGAUAUGCAUGAUGAUACAUGGCCAUGAUGAUGAUAUAUAUGCUAUAAUGAUGCAUGAAUACGCUUGACAUCAAAAAGGUAAGCAAUGCCUGCAUUGUAUGAUGGUAUGCAUGGUGCACUGAGUUGUUAUUGGAUUUCCUUAUCUGCUGAGUGGUUGUACUCACCCCUUUUGGGGAUAACAUUUCAGAUUAGCACUAUGCCGCUACCUGCUGUUUCGCGUGGGGUAUUUUACGGUCUACCGUCUGAUGUUGAGGUGGAGUGUACGGAGAUAGAUUGUCCCUCUGUGCUCGGAUUGACGUUUAUCCGAGUGCGAUGCUUAGUUAUGUAUGAUAUCGGCCUGGCUGGG